RNAcentral lists this ribosomal RNA (492 nucleotides) under uncultured bacterium. Its description in RNAcentral is "partial 16S ribosomal RNA". It matches the Rfam family "Bacterial small subunit ribosomal RNA", at positions 29 to 507 of the family's 1533-position model. The record is from RNAcentral.
AGUGAACGCUGGCGGUAGGCCUAACACAUGCAAGUCGAACGGCAGCACCGUAAGAGCUUGCUCUUACGUGUGUCGAGUGUCGGACGGGUCAGUUAUACUUCGGAAUCUACUUUUUCGUGGGUGAUAACGUAGGGUAACUUACGCUAAUACCGCAUACGUCCUACUUGUGUAAGCAGGGGAUCUUCUGACCUUGCGCGAUUGUAUGAGCCUAUGUCGGAUUAGCUAGUUGGCUGGUUAAAGGCCUACCAAGGCGACGAUCCGUAUCUGGUCUGAGAGGAUGAACAGACAGACUGGAAGGGAGAAACGGUACAGACUCCUACGGGAGGAAGCAGUGGGGAAUAUUGGACGAUGGGCGAAAGGCUGAUCCAGCAAUACCGCGUGGGGGAAGAAGGAGUUCGGGUUGUAAAGCCCUGUUGUUGGGAAAGAAAAGAAGCAGGUUAAUACCCGGCUGUUAUGACGGUACCCAAAGAAUAAGCACCGGCUAACUUCGUG